UGGAUGCACAAUACAUCCUUGAGAAGUUAAU
This 31-nucleotide non-coding RNA is filed under the name Mus musculus (house mouse). Lineage: Eukaryota; Metazoa; Chordata; Mammalia; Rodentia; Muridae. The record is from RNAcentral.